This 1497-nucleotide ribosomal RNA is filed under the name Triticum aestivum (bread wheat). RNAcentral's name for it is "partial small subunit ribosomal RNA". Lineage: Eukaryota; Viridiplantae; Streptophyta; Magnoliopsida; Poales; Poaceae. The record is from RNAcentral.
AUGGAGAAGAGUGCGGAGUGCACAAGAGACGAGGCCACCGCCUGCUCUCGAAGUCCAUGUCCCUGUCCAGUACCAAUCGUGCACAGAAUCGCCGCGCUGUACUGCAAGCUCGGCGCCCCUACGGGUGCACGGCGCCUCAUCGAGGGAGCGUCGCGGGGUGAAGCGGAAGGAGGCUGCAAGAAGGUGCUCCAGCUGCACGAGGAGAUACCCGCGGCAUCCAGCAGGCAUUUUAUAUACCAGGAAUCCUGUCCUCAUAAUCUAACGCGUUUUCAGCCAAAAAGGGAAGAAAUUCUAAAGCAUUUUGCAGACAAGAACAGCGAGGCCAGCUCCAGCAAUAUGAGCCUGAACUCUGAAGAAGGUUUGAUGUGCAAAGAUAUAUCGCACUCGUCGCAAUCUAGUGCCCCUUCCCUGGCCCAUCCCCUGAGCCCAUGCCGCUACCAGUGCGUCUCCACGCUCAGACGCCACUCCUCCUACGUCUCUGGCCUCGCCGUCGACGGCAUCUCGCUCUACGUCUCCUCGUCGGACGGACACAUCAGGCUGUGGCCACUGGACAUGAGCAGCACGACCGUGCAACACGAGGGCUCUGUUGUUGCCGCCACCAAUAGCUCCAUAAAGUGCCUCAUGGCCACCAGCGAUGGUCUCGUCAGCGCCCACCAGGACGGCAAGAUCAGGGUGUGGCAGCAGGCCGGCCGGCGGAAAGGCGGGAGCAGCCACCUCGCCCUCCACGGCGUGCUGCCGACCACCGCGGACUGCCUGCGCACGUUCCUGUUCCCCAAGAACUACGUCGACGUCCGGCGGCACAGGAGCCGCACCUGGGUGCACCACGUGGACGCGGUCACCGCGCUCGCGCUGUCCCCGGACGGCGGGUACAUGUACUCCGUGUCCUGGGACCGGAGCCUCAAGGUGUGGCGCCUUCCCAGCCUCCGCUGCGUGGAGUCCAUCACCCCGGCCCACAACGACGCCAUCAACGCCGUCGCCGUGUCGUCGGACGGGCACGUCUACACCGGGUCGGCGGACCGGACGAUCAAGGCGUGGAGGCGCCACCCGGGGCAGAAGAGGCUCGCGCUGGUCGGCACCAUGGAGCGGCACAGGUCGGCGGUGAACGCGCUGGCGAUGGGCGUCGGCGGGCUGGUUCUCUACUCCGGCUCGUGCGACCGGUCCGUCGUCGUGUGGGAGGGCUUCGACGCCGGAGGCGCGGCGUCCACCAGGACUCUCAGGGGGCACGCUGAGGCGGUGCUGUGCCUGGCCGCCGCCGGCGAUGUGGCGUGCAGCGGGUCCGCGGACAGGACGGUGAGGGUGUGGCGACGGGGAGCGGAAGGCGAGUACUCCUGCUCGGCCGUCCUGGACGGCCAUGGCGCGGCCGUGAAGAGCCUGGCAUUGGUGUUGACGGGAGGCGACCACGGCAGCGAGUGCGAGGAGAGCCCGCGCGGUGGCUGCUCCGCGCUGAUUUGCAGCGGUUCGUUGGACUGCAAUGUGAAGAUUUGGAGGGUGACUUGA